AUUAGGUAGUUACGCAUUAUCU
Molecule: non-coding RNA, 22 nt
Organism: Drosophila melanogaster (fruit fly)
Lineage: Eukaryota; Metazoa; Arthropoda; Insecta; Diptera; Drosophilidae
Source: Ensembl